RNAcentral lists this ribosomal RNA (252 nucleotides) under uncultured bacterium. Its description in RNAcentral is "partial 16S ribosomal RNA". It matches the Rfam family "Bacterial small subunit ribosomal RNA", at positions 524 to 776 of the family's 1533-position model. The record is from RNAcentral.
UACGGAGGAUGCGAGCGUUGUCCGGAUUUAUUGGGCGUAAAGCGAGCGCAGGUGGUUUAUUAAGUCUGGUGUAAAAGGCAGUGGCUCAACCAUUGUAUGCAUUGGAAACUGGUAGACUUGAGUGCAGGAGAGGAGAGUGGAAUUCCAUGUGUAGCGGUGAAAUGCGUAGAUAUAUGGAGGAACACCGGUGGCGAAAGCGGCUCUCUGGCCUGUAACUGACACUGAGGCUCGAAAGCGUGGGGAGCAAACAGG